UACGAAGGGUGCAAGCGUUACUCGGAAUUACUGGGCGUAAAGCGUGCGUAGGUGGUUUGUUAAGUCUGUUGUGAAAGCCCCGGGCUCAACCUGGGAAUGGCAAUGGAUACUGGCAAGCUAGAGUGCGGUAGAGGGUAGUGGAAUUCCCGGUGUAGCGGUGAAAUGCGUAGAGAUGUGGAGGAACACCGAUGGCGAAGGCAGCCCCCUGGGUCAAGAUUGACGCUCAUGCACGAAAGCGUGGGGAGCAAACAGG
Molecule: ribosomal RNA, 253 nt
Filed under: uncultured bacterium
Lineage: Bacteria
Description: partial 16S ribosomal RNA
Rfam family: Bacterial small subunit ribosomal RNA
Source: RNAcentral